AAGUCGUAACAAGGUUUCCGUAGGUGAACCUGCGGAAGGAUCAUUACAGAGUAUUAUCGCCUUUGGCGAAUUUCUCUAUCUAUAAACUCUUUUUUCUAAAAAGACAUGAUUUAAUAAUUAGUCUGAAUGUUUUUAUACAAAACUUUUAAAACUUUCAACAACGGAUCUCUUGGUUCUC
Molecule: unclassified non-coding RNA, 178 nt
Filed under: fungal sp.
Lineage: Eukaryota; Fungi
Description: partial internal transcribed spacer region
Rfam family: Eukaryotic small subunit ribosomal RNA (bases 1-46)
Source: RNAcentral